Molecule: non-coding RNA, 77 nt
Organism: Podarcis lilfordi (Lilford's wall lizard)
Lineage: Eukaryota; Metazoa; Chordata; Lepidosauria; Squamata; Lacertidae
Source: the annotation of a GenBank genome assembly
GUUACCAGAUAGCUCAGUUGGUUAGAACAUGGUGCUGGGUAACACCAAGGUCGCAGGUUCGAUCUCCGUAUGGGACA